This 484-nucleotide ribosomal RNA is filed under the name uncultured Micromonosporaceae bacterium. RNAcentral's name for it is "bacterial SSU rRNA". It matches the Rfam family "Bacterial small subunit ribosomal RNA", at positions 8 to 507 of the family's 1533-position model. The record is from RNAcentral. Lineage: Bacteria; Bacillati; Actinomycetota; Actinomycetes; Micromonosporales; Micromonosporaceae.
AGAGUUUGAUCCUGGCUCAGGACGAACGCUGGCGGCGUGCUUAACACAUGCAAGUCGAGCGGAAAGGCCCUUUCGGGGGUACUCGAGCGGCGAACGGGUGAGUAACACGUGAGCAACCUGCCUCUGACUUUGGGAUAACCCUCGGAAACGGGGGCUAAUACCGGAUAUGACGCCUCGGGGCAUCUUGGGGUGUGGAAAGUUUUUCGGUCAGGGGAUGGGCUCGCGGCCUAUCAGCUUGUUGGUGGGGUGAUGGCCUACCAAGGCGACGACGGGUAGCCGGCCUGAGAGGGCGACCGGCCACACUGGGACUGGGACACGGCCCAGACUCCUACGGGAGGCAGCAGUGGGGAAUAUUGCACAAUGGGCGGAAGCCUGAUGCAGCGACGCCGCGUGAGGGAUGACGGCCUUCGGGUUGUAAACCUCUUUCGACAGGGACGAAGCGUGAGUGACGGUACCUGUAGAAGAAGCGCCGGCCAACUACGUG